CCUACGGGUGGCUGCAGUGAGGAAUAUUGGUCAAUGGACGCAAGUCUGAACCAGCCAUGUAGCGUGAAGGAAGACGGCCCUAUGAGUUGUAAACUGCUUUUGUAUGGGAAUAAAAUGUUCCACGUGUAGGAUUUUGUAUGUACCAUAUGAAUAAGGAUCGGCUAACUCCGUGCCAGCAGCCGCGGUAAUAUGGAGGAUCCGAGCGUUAUCCGGAUUUAUUGGGUUUAAAGGGAGCGUAGGUGGUUUGUUAAGUCAGUGGUGAAAGUUUGCGGCUCAACCGUAAAAUUGCAGUUGAAACUGGCAGGCUUGAGUUCAGUAGAGGUGGGCGGAAUGCGUGGUGUAGCGGUGAAAUGCUUAGAGAUCACGAAGAACUCCGAUUGCGAAGGCAGCUCACCGGACUGCAACUGACAUUGAGGCUCGAAAGUGUGGGGAGCAAACAGGAUUAGAUACCCGGGUAGUC
This 460-nucleotide ribosomal RNA is filed under the name uncultured bacterium. RNAcentral describes it as "partial 16S ribosomal RNA". It matches the Rfam family "Bacterial small subunit ribosomal RNA", at positions 338 to 795 of the family's 1533-position model. The record is from RNAcentral.